GAUGAACGCUGGCGGCGUGCCUAACACAUUCAAGUCGAACGGACUUAACAUGGAAGCUUGCUUCCGAGUUAAGUUAGUGGCGGACGGGUGAGUAACGCGUGGGUGACCUGCCUUAUACUGGGGGAUAACACUUAGAAAUAGGUGCUAAUACCGCAUAAGCGCACAGUUCUGCAUGGAACAGUGUGAAAAACUCCGGUGGUAUAAGAUGGACCCGCGUCUGAUUAGCUUGUUGGUGAGGUAACGGCUCACCAAGGCGACGAUCAGUAGCCGGCCUGAGAGGGUGAACGGCCACAUUGGGACUGAGACACGGCCCAAACUCCUACGGGAGGCAGCAGUGGGGAAUAUUGCACAAUGGGGGGAACCCUGAUGCAGCGACGCCGCGUGAGCGAAGAAGUAUUUCGGUAUGUAAAGCUCUAUCAGCAGGGAAGAAAAUGACGGUACCUGACUAAGAAGCCCCGGCUAACUACGUG
RNAcentral lists this ribosomal RNA (470 nucleotides) under uncultured bacterium. Its description in RNAcentral is "bacterial SSU rRNA". It matches the Rfam family "Bacterial small subunit ribosomal RNA", at positions 28 to 507 of the family's 1533-position model. The record is from RNAcentral.